RNAcentral lists this ribosomal RNA (253 nucleotides) under uncultured bacterium. Its description in RNAcentral is "partial 16S ribosomal RNA". It matches the Rfam family "Bacterial small subunit ribosomal RNA", at positions 524 to 776 of the family's 1533-position model. The record is from RNAcentral.
UACAGAGGUCCCAAGCGUUGUUCGGAUUCAUUGGGCGUAAAGGGUGCGUAGGCGGCGCGGUAAGUCGGGUGUGAAAUCUCGGAGCUUAACUCCGAAACUGCAUUCGAUACUGCCGUGCUUGAGGACUGGAGAGGAGACUGGAAUUUACGGUGUAGCGGUGAAAUGCGUAGAUAUCGUAAGGAAGACCAGUGGCGAAGGCGGGUCUCUGGACAGUAACUGACGCUGAGGCGCGAAAGCUAGGGGAGCAAACAGG